GUCGAACGAAAAGACGGAAAGAGCUUGCUCUUUUCAGAAUUGAGUGGCACACGGGUGAGUAACACGUAAACAACCUGCCUUCAGGAUGGGGACAACAGACGGAAACGACUGCUAAUACCGAAUAAGUUCCAAGGGCCGCAUGGCCCAUGGAAGAAAAGGUGGCCUCUACCUGUAAGCUAUCGCCUGAAGAGGGGUUUGCGUCUGAUUAGCUGGUUGGAGGGGUAACGGCCCACCAAGGCGACGAUCAGUAGCCGGUCUGAGAGGAUGAACGGCCACACUGGAACUGAGACACGGUCCAGACUCCUACGGGAGGCAGCAGUGGGGAAUCUUCCGCAAUGGGCGAAAGCCUGACGGAGCAACGCCGCGUGAGUGAUGACGGCCUUCGGGUUGUAAAACUCUGUGAUCCGGGACGAAAAGGCAGAGUGCGAAGAACAAACUGCAUUGACGGUACCGGAAAAGCAAGCCACGGCUAACUACGUGCCAGCAGCCGCGGUAAUACGUAGGUGGCAAGCGUUGUCCGGAAUUAUUGGGCGUAAAGCGCGCGCAGGCGGCUUCCCAAGUCCCUCUUAAAAGUGCGGGGCUUAACCCCGUGAUGGGAAGGAAACUGGGAAGCUGGAGUAUCGGAGAGGAAAGUGGAAUUCCUAGUGUAGCGGUGAAAUGCGUAGAGAUUAGGAAGAACACCGGUGGCGAAGGCGACUUUCUGGACGAAAACUGACGCUGAGGCGCGAAAGCGUGGGGAGCAAACA
Molecule: ribosomal RNA, 746 nt
Filed under: uncultured bacterium
Lineage: Bacteria
Description: bacterial SSU rRNA
Rfam family: Bacterial small subunit ribosomal RNA
Source: RNAcentral